GACGUAGGGGGCGAGCGUUGUCCGGAUUUAUUGGGCGUAAAGAGCUCGUAGGCGGCUCGUUGCGUCGGCUGUGAAAACCCGCAGCUCAACUGUGGGCUUGCAGCUGAUACGGGCAGGCUUGAGUUCGGUAGGGGAGACUGGAAUUCCUGGUGUAGCGGUGAAAUGCGCAGAUAUCAGGAGGAACACCGGUGGCGAAGGCGGGUCUCUGGGCCGAUACUGACGCUGAGGAGCGAAAGCGUGGGGAGCGAACAGG
This 253-nucleotide ribosomal RNA is filed under the name uncultured bacterium. RNAcentral's name for it is "partial 16S ribosomal RNA". It matches the Rfam family "Bacterial small subunit ribosomal RNA", at positions 524 to 776 of the family's 1533-position model. The record is from RNAcentral.